UUACCCUUCCCUAGGACAUGACUUGGGCACGUCUUGAGGGUAGGAACCCUUCUAACAAUGAACUUGUUGAAUUGAAAGUUACCAGUACCCUCUAGACGCGGACAUGUUAUAUCAGUCAAUCUGCUCCAAAAUCGAGGUGGGAGCUAUCCAGGCGAGUUGGCGUAGGUACAUCAUGAUGGUAGGAACCCUUCUGACGAAGAACUUGAGAAUUUGCACAUUAUCACGUGCCCUGUUGAUGUGAGCAUGUCAUGUCAAGAGAACGUUUACUAAUCAUCAACAGUAGAAAAUUAAACAAAAAAAUUGUGAAAAUUUUAAGAGAAACAUAUUGAAACAGAUAAUAUAAUUUAACAAACAACUAAAAUGAAUUGGGUUGCCUCCCAAGAAGUGUUUUUCUUUAAUAUCUUUGACUAGACAUUGUCAAUCGUGCUUAAUGCUCAUGAGAUGGAUUUUCAAGGUGCAUCAUCUCUACCUUUUCUACUAAAAAUCUUUCAUAAUAAAGUUUGAGAAGGUGUCUAUUGACAACAAAUUUUUUCUCGAUCUUUAAAUUUUGUAUUUCUUUUGCACCAUAAUAGAAGAUAUUAGUAACAAGAAAAGAACCAAUCCAAUGAGAACGUAAUUUACUUGGAAAUAACUUAAAUCUCAAUUGGUAGAGAAGAACUUUCUGGCCAACGACAAAGAUUUUUUUAGAAAUUUGCUAAUCAUGAAAAACUUUAUUUUCUCCUUAUAGAUUUUCGCGUUCUCAUAGGUAUCGUUUCGAAUUUCUUCUAACUCUUGUAAUUCCAAAUUCCAAUGAACUCCAACCUCUGCUAAAUCCAUAUUGCACAGCUUUAUUGCCCAAAACGUUCUGUGUUCGAACUCCACUGGCUGGUGGCAUGGUUUUUCAAAUACCAAUUGAUAAGAAGACAUCUUUAUAGGUGUCUUGUAUGUUAUCCGAUAGGUCCAAGGCGUGUUCUCCAACCUUUGACUACAAUCCUUUGUAUCGGGGCACACCAUUUUCUCCAAGAUAGAUUUUAUUUCCCUAUUUGAGACCUCUGCCUAGCCAUUAGUCUGUGAAUAAUACGAUGCCGAGAUUUUAUGAAUGACACCAUACUUUCAGAAUAAUGCAGCUAUCGUUUUGUUACAGAAGUGUAUUUCACUGUCGCUAACAAUGGCUCUUGACAUUCCAAAACGUACAAAAAUAUUGGACUUGAUAAAAUUUGAUACCACUCUCAAAUAGUUAGUAUGGGUGACUUUAGCUUCUAUUCAUUUGGAAACAUAAUCAACAAUCAAUAUUAUAUAGAGAAAACCAAAUGACGUGGGAAAAGGACCUAUAAAGUCGAUCCCCCAACUAUAAAAAAUUUCAACAAAAAACAUGAAAGUUUGAGACAUUUGAUCUCUAUGGAAAAUGUUAUCUAUUUUUUGACAUUUGUUACAAGACUUAUGUAGGCAUCUUUAAACAGUGAAACUCAGUAGAACCCGCUCUCUAACACCUUACGAGUCAUUCUCUUUGGUUUAAAGUGAUCUCCACAAGGGAAAGAGUGACAAAAAAUUAGAAUCAAAUAGUAUUCAUUUUUACUUACACACCUUCGCAUUAUUUGAUCCGUACAAUACUUCCACAGUUACGGAUCGUCUCAUAUGAAGUAUUUGAUGUCAUUUCUUAGUUUGUCCCUCUUCGGUUUAGGCCAACUUGCAGAAAAUUUGUCAGUUAUUAGGUAAUUGACUAAAUCAACAUACCAAGACAAUUUAGAAUUUAGAAAAAAUAAUUGUUUAUCGGGGAAAGUAUCUCUCAAUGAAACAUUCUCCUCUUCAACUGGUAUGCGGAUCAGAUGAUCAGCUACUAAAUUUUUCGAUCAUCUUUUAUCCUUGAUCUCUGAGUCGAACUCUUGUAGAAACAAUAUCCAUCUCAUUAGUCUUGGCUUCGCGUCUUUUUCUUCAACAAAUAUCUCAGAAUUGCAUGAUCAGAAUAUACAACGACUGUAACUCCUAGUACAUACGACAUAAAUUUCUCUAAAGCAAAGACAACUGCUAAAAAUUCUUUCUCUAUGGUGGAGUAAUUCAGUUGAGAUCCAUUCAAAGUCCCUGAUGCAUAGUAAAUGGUGUGGGUUGUUUUUCCUAUUCUCUGCCUCAACACUGCUCCCAUUGCAUGGUCACUAGCAUCACAUAUGAUCUCAACUAGGAGACUCCAAUCCGGAGGUUGAAGAAUUGGGGUUGAAAUCAAGAGUUCUUUCAAUUUGUUGAAUGCCUCCUUGCAAUCUUCAUUGAACUCAAAUAUCACAUUCUUUUGCAAUAGCCUGAAUAGAGAUGCUCUAUUGAGAAAUAUUUGAUGAAUUUGUGAUAGAAGCCUACAUGUCUAAAAAAAAGAACACACUUCCCACAUGCUUGCAGGGUAAAGUAAAGCAGAAACAAUAUCUAUCUUAACUUUAUCAACUUCUAUGCCCCUGGAUGACACUACAUAUCCUAAAACUAUUCCUUGUUCAAUUAUAAAAUAACUUUUUUCAGUUGAGCACUAGGUUAGUUUUUAUACACUCUCUUAAAAUUAGUUUCAAAUUGUCAAGACAACUACCGAAACUAUCACGAUACAUGUUAAAGUAAUCCAUAAAUACCUCUAUAAUUCUCUCUACAUAUUCAGAGAAGAUACUUACCAUGCAUCUCUAGAAAGUCGCAGGGGUAUUACAUAACCCGAAAGGCAUUUGUUUGUAUGCAAAGGUUCUUAAUGAGUACAUAAAGGUGAUUUUCUCCUGGUCCUCUGGUGCAAUUGCGAUAUGAAAGUAACCUUAGAAAUCAUCUAAAAAAUAAUAGUAAAUUCGACAUACUAACUGUUCAAUUAUUUGAUUAAUAAAAAGGAGAGAGAAGUGAUCUUUUUUUGUGACGGUAUUGAACUUGCGAUAGUCUAUACACUGCCGUUAUCCGGUGAGUUUUCGGACUGGAACUAACUCGCCCUCUUGAUUAGCUUCUACUGUCACCCCAGCUUUUGUCAGAACUUCCUGUAUUAGACUUACCCAUGGACUAUCUAAUAUAGCAUAAAUAAUCCUUACAUCCAGCAAUUUAAUAUUUCUUUCUUUACUAUCUCCAUCAUAAGCGGGUUCAACCUUCUUUGAUCUGGUAAGGAUUUCAACUCUACAAUCGGUGCCUGCACAAUAGAGGAUAAUAAUUUCUGGUGAGACUCUGGCAUGAAAAUGGGUGCAAGUUCAUACCUUAUUGUUGUAGUUGCUAGAAAGUGUAGUGCCCCGACCAUAUUCUGCAAUUCACCACUUAAUUUCACACCAAGAGUUAUUUCUAAUCCAAGGUGCUUGGUUAUUACUACCUCUAGCUUAUCUCUGCUAUUAAUUUUAAAAAUUUCCUGUACCACAGGAUCAAUGAUACUCAUAACAAAAACAGAAUUAGAAUUAGAAGUAAAGGGAUAUUUCAUGAUCUUAAAUAUGUUAAAAUGAACAAUUUCUCCAUCGAACUCCAUAGAUAGAAUGCCCUUGUUAAUAUCAAUUUUGAUUUGAGUUGUGCUUAAAAAUGGUCUAUCUAAUAACAAAGGUGAUGGAUUUGGGGAAUGAUCAUCAUCCAUAUUUAGGAGAUAAAAGCCAGUUGGGCAAACCAAUUCAUUAAUAUUAACUAAAACAUCCUUAAUCAGUCCAUCAGGGUAUGCAUUUGUUCGGUCCAUCAAUUGAAUUAUAAUACCGAUUUCUUUCAAUGGUCCUAGAUUUAAAGAAACAUAUAUGAAUUUUGGUAUAACAUUAAUUGAUACUCCUAAAUCUAACAUGACAUUUCUAAUAAAAGUGCUUCCUAUCCUACAUGGGAUAAUAAACAUAUCUGGGUCUCCGCAUUUGGGUGGGAGUUUCCUUUGAAGUACUGUUAACAUGUUCUCCCCCACAAUAACUCUUUCAUCUCAUUUUAGUCUCUUUCUAUUGACGCACAAGUCCUUCAAGAAUUUUGUAUAUUUUGGUACUUGUUUGAUUGCAUCCAACAAGGGGAUAAUUAUUUCUACCUUAUGAAAUAUUUCUAAAAUCUCCUUCUCCUUAUCUUGUUUUUUUGGCUUCUCCAACCUGUUAGGAAAAGAUGGUGAAGUAGAUCGAACUUUAAUCAUUGAAUUAGGAAUUAGCUCUGGAGUUGCGCUUCUCAUUCCUUCCUCCUCAAGCUCCUUCUCAUUCCGAUCUUCACUUUUAUCUUUCGGAGACACGAGUUCAGAUCCCUCCACUUCUCUUCCACUCCUCAAAGUUAUGACGCUUACAUUCUUUGGAUUUAUUUCGGGUUGAGAUGGUAAUUUUCCUUGAUCUUAGGAUUCCAAACGAUUAAUCGAUAUCGCCAUCUAACAAUUUGAUUUCGUAUCUCCUGUAUGUUAGAGUCCGUCUUUUACUGAUGCUGAAUAAUGCUUGCAGCUAAUUGUUUCAUCAGCUCUUCCAAAGAAGGACCCGAAUCGGAAGAGAAAGAUUGCGGUCGGGAUUGAUACUGUUGCUGGUACCCUUACUAUCUAUUCGGUAUAAAAUUUUGCUGUCUAUUUCCUCCAUAGUUAAGGUUAGGAUGAUCCUUCGAACCUGAAUUGUAUAUGUUAGAAUAUGGAUCAUACUGCUUUCUUGGCGCGGGUGCGUGACCAGCCAGAUUUACCUGCUCAACACUCUCCUCUUGAAGCGUUAGACACAUGUCCGUGGUGUGUCCUCCACUGGUAUAAAUUUCACAUGCCCUGGCCUAUGGUGUGCGUCCUACAACCAAUUGCAUAACAAAAGAUGUCAAUUCAAACAAUUGCUGCAACAUAGAUGAAGUCUCCACCUUAUUCACUUUACUCGUCGGGAUAUCUUCGUGUGUAUUAAACUGUUGUGAGUUCUCGGUCAUACCCUUAAUCAAUUCACAUGCUUCUCUGGGGUUUUGUUGACUAAUUCCCCUCCACUUGAAGUAUCAAUAAUGCUCCUAUCUUGGGAAAGUAAACCCUCGUAGAAGUAUUGAUUUAGCAACUGCUCACUUAUUUGGUGCUGAGAGUAUUUGAUGCACAACUUCUUGAAUCACUCCCAAUAGUCAUAAAGAGACUUUUAAGGGUGCUGUUUAAUGCCACAUAUCUCUUUUCUCAGACUGGCAGCUCUAGAUGCAGGAAAAUUUUUUCAAAAAUUUCUUCUUUUCAAAAAUUUCUUCUUCAACUACUUCCAAGUUAUGAUACUACCCAGUGGUAGAUAAAAAUCAAUUCUUGGCAGAAUCCUUGAGAGAGAAAGGGAAUGCUCUCAUCUUUAUCUAUUUUUCAUUAAUCCCUGGAAGUUUUAUACUUGUGUACACUACAUCAAACUCUUGCAAGUGCUUGUGAGACUCCUCACCUGGAAGACCAUGAAAAGAGAGUAAAAGAUGAAUUAAACCAAAUUUUAACUCAAAAGGUGUAUUAUCAUUUAAAUUUGGGAAAGUAAUGCAUAAUGGGAUUUAGAUCAGGGGCAUCCAACUCCUUUAAUGUUAGUACAUUUGCCAUGGCUGCAUCUUCUUGAUUGAAAUCACCGAAAGAGUUUGUUGGUUCAACUUUUGGAUUGUGCCUCUAAGAUGCAGCGACUUACUGUUCCUUUCUUUGUUGUCUGGUUUCCUUCCUUAUUCUACGCACAAUCUUCUCUAUUUCAAGAUCGAAAAUUAAUUCGUCUGUACGAGAAGAGCAAGGCAUAAAUAAAAAAAAGCCAGAAAAUUAAAAAUAAAAUGAAUUCAAAAAUAGACUAAUUAAAUAACGCUAGUCCUCGGCAACGGCGUAAAAAAUUAAUAGGUUAUUUAGUCUGUACAAUAAUAAAUACCUGUUCAAAUACAAUACAAAUUCUGUAUCUAGUAGUAAGUAGGGUCUAAUUCACAAGGAUUGGAAGAACUUAGUUUCUUUUAGAGUUCAAGAUAUGGGAAAUUUUAUAAAAAUGACAAUAAACUGUACUACUUGAAUAUAGUAAAUAAUCAAAAGUUAAAUAGCAAAUUGUUAAUACUCAAAUAAUAGUGGACAAACUCAAGCCAAGAAAUAACUUCAAAAAUGGUUGUCCUAAUUUAUCAUUGAUACAAGAAUAAUUCCACUUAUAAAUUGAUAAACAAGUUAUAACUACGAAAAAAGCAAUGACAGUCAAUUUCUUCUUAAAUUAUCGAUAGCCAAGGUUCGACCGUUAGCUAUUACCCUAAUUGCGAAAUAAUUUUAGGUACGACCUUAGAGUUCAAUUUUUCAAUUAUUUUAAGAAUUAGAUAAAUCCUGUUCUAACCAAACAACACGCUACGAAGGUUGCUUCAAAUUAGCUCGUAUGUUUCUCAGACACAAAUCCAAUCAUACCAGUUACCACUAAUUUCGAAUAACUAAAUAAUUACGAAUUUAAUUACUCUAAUUGGUUUCAAAUUAUCGAAUUAGUCUAAAAUUCGGACCUAAGAUAAUUGAAUAAUACAAUAACUAUAAGAACAUAAAGUAGGAAAUAUACAAAUACUAGAAACUAAUAGGAAAAAGUAAAAUAAGUUCGAUCUCACAAUUUAAGUUGAACCAAAUCCUCUGUUGUUCCUUGACUAGAAAAAGAGAUUUAGUUCAUCUCUGCUGAAAUAACCUGAUGUGAAAUUAUAAAAUUAAUCUGAGGCAUCCUUCAAUGGAUCAAGAGAGUAGUAUGCGAUGGAAGAAAGAAAAGCAAAAGCAAGUCUGUCUCCUCCUUGUUGUGGCCGACCUUUCCUAAGAAAACAAAAGAUAAGUCAAGAGACCUAGUCUCAAUUGACUUCUUCCUAUGACUAAUCAGCCACAACCAAAAAGAAAGGAAAUCUACUAAUUGGUAACUUUUCUAUUCUUGAUAAACUACUAUUGUCAAUUGAAAUCAAACAAUUAACUGAUGAAAUAUUUGCGGCCCCACAUUGCACUUCCAAUUGUCAGCUGGAUAUGACACAUCAUUCCCGAGUUUCCUGGACACGCUAAGUCUUGAGUAUAACGCGACCGCACCAAAUAGCAAAUAUAGUAAGGAAUUUGCACCUUUUUACCACUCUUUGUUCCAACUCCCCGCGAUUAGCACAAAUUCUCAAAAGUGAAUAGAAUUUGCCAAUUAACGCACAUUGGUAAGAUAAUAAGAGGGAAAGAAUUGUAAAAUUAAUGACAAAAUUGCGUCCUAUCACCGGCCAACCAUAAUCAUAUUGUUGAUUUGAUGGGUGUACCCAAGAUAGAUUGCUUUCUAUUCUUAUCUCUUACCAUUCCGGCACCUAUUUUUAUAGAUUGCUUUCGUUUUUUUAUAUCUUACCAUCUUAGCACUUAUUUUUAUCUCUUAUUUUUUAUAGAUUGCUUUCUAUUCUAUCCGUCCAUUGGUUUGUAUCUCUUUUAUCUUUUCCAAAUGUCCAAAUACACUCGAGUUUAUAUUAUGAAAUAUUACCUGCAAUAGAAUACUUAAUGCUUAAAGCAUUCCUAGAUAUACCUGAGUUGAUAGCACCUAUCUGUUCAUUAGUUUGUAUCUCCUUUUCUUUACCAAACGUCCAAAUAUACCUGAGUUGAUAGCAUCUAUCGAUCCAUUAGUUUGUAUCUCUUUAUCUUUACCAAAUGUCCACAUCUUAUUAACAACCAUAUGGUUUGUUAUUAGUAAGCAAUUUUAUCCAUGGAGAUGCAAGUAGCAAAACCCAUUGUCUCACAUGUAGAAAAAUGUGUCACUAUUGUCUUGUCAUCCAACAAUUUCUUCAUUGCAAAUGCAAGACUUAAUGUCACAGUCAAGGUAAACCUUCUUGAACUCCAACAACAAUAACAGUUAAUGUUAUUUCACAAUAAUUUAAAAGUGUAAGGGCAUCACUGGAAUUUCAUUUCGUGAAUUCAUAUGAAUAGCUUUUUCCACUAGAAAUCUGGCUAGCAGCACUGUAAUAGUUAAUAAAUAGAAUAUAUCAUUCCUAUUUUGCCAAUUUCACUUGUAUUGGGGUCUUAUCUCUUCCAUUUUCACUUAGAGUCUCUGUCAACUUGUCUCAUUGAAUUCUUGUACGUUGGUUCCUACUAGAAUAAAAGACAUUGUUGGUUUUAAAGCAUAAACUACUAAAUAACACUUAGUAUUGCCAAAUAAAAAAGCCCACAAAAACCUUGUAUUAUGGGCUGAAAAUAAACUUAGGUUAUUCAUGUAUCAAUUCAUUAUUUACAGUGUUUACUAGCAAUAUAAGUUUUAACUAGCAAAUUUUCAUAAAAAAAUCUCAACAAAACUACUUGCUAACAAAUUAACAUAAUCUUCUACUUAACAAAUCUUUAAAAAAAUAUUUGUUUACAGCUGAAAAUGAUAUUAUAUUAAUAAAUAUCCCAACAACUACAUUUAUUCAAUAAUUAACUAAAUUAUUCUAGUACUAAAUGAAUCUAGAAAAAUCUAUACAAGUUGGCAUAUCUCAACACUCCUUGCCACUUUUGUUGUAGAUCCUCAAAUGUCUUCUUAAGUAUUCAAACCUUAUUUUAGACAAUGUCUUCGUAAAAAUGUCUACAAGCUAGUCAUUUGUUAUGCAAUAAACAACGUCUUUCAGUUUAUUAAACCAAACUUCAAAAUUAGCAAUAAAUUCCUUGACAUAACCAAAUGACUGCUUUGAAAUUUAAAAGUGAAACUCCUAUACAUAGUAGACAAACCUGAAUAAGAAGUUUAUAACACACAAGAUGAUUGUUAUGAGAGACAUAAAACAAUCAUGAUAAUUUUUGUAUGGCUUUUUGAUCGACAAAUUCCUACAAGUGCAUAGAGUCGAUUGUAGUAAUAAAAUCAUCUAGAGUCUUUCAGGGGUUAAAUCUACAGGAGUGAGUUAAUUUUCUACUUUAAUUAUUCUAGCAAAUAUCUAAAGUUAAAUUCAAAGGAUUUAAAUCACCAAUUAAGGAGAAAAAUAUGUAAUCAUGUUAAAUAAAAUAAUUGCUGAGAAAAUUAUUGGUAAGACACUAUGAUUUCAAAUUUUGAUCUAGAAUUUGAAUUAGUUAUCCAACUAAUUUAUUAAAUCCUAAGAAUAUAUCACACAAAUGUAUUUUAGAUUAUUUCUCGAUACAUUUAAAUUGUGUUUAACUAAAUCUCACGUCUCUCUCAAGAUCAUAAAUAUUUAAUCAAAUCCUUUAAGAUCUUAGGUGAUUUGACUACGUCAUGCAAACACUUACCUACUCUCAUAAUUAGGCUAAGUAUGUUUAUCUAGAGGAUGAUUGUGUAUCCCUUUUUAGUUCAAUACAAACUCUAAAAGCAUGUCUAUGGUAGCCAAACACAAACAUAUAAUUAAAUUAAGGCAAAAAUAAAGAAUUAAACUUAGAUAAAUAAUCAAAACUCAUUCACAAAAUCCUAACCCUAGAAUGGAAUUAGUUUAACAUAUUCAUUGUAAAAACCAAGAAUUGAACGAGUAAAAUACAUGUAUGAAGGUAAAAGUAAAGAAAACUUCUCCAUUUUCCCUGCCCCAAUCUCCGUCUUGAACUCUCUUUGAUUCCAUGCUUUGAUCCCAUUCUUGAUCUCCCGAGAAUGAGUUGUAUGUGAUGAACUAAUGCUAGUAUAAUAUGUUUCCCACCCUCAAAAUGACCUAGAAUAUCUCUAUUUAUAGUUUCUUAAAGGUGUAUCCCAAAUAUAGUAGGAUUAGGCUUAUUGGAGUUGAAAAAUCAUUUCAUGUCACUUUCUGAUGAAGACCAGCCCAAUGACUGGUCCAAUGUCUAGCACCAGUUGUCAAAAAUUGAUUGAGAUCAGAGAAACUCUAGUGUGAAAAUCAAAUGCACAACCAGUAUUAGUCAUCAGGGAUCUAUGCACUGAUUACCUAGGAUCUGCAUCCGUACACGAAUCCUUUUUGACCAAUGGCCCUUGUUCCUUUUUUCGUACCUUCUUCCUGUGCUGCUUCUUUG
This 9730-nucleotide long non-coding RNA is filed under the name Coffea arabica (coffee). RNAcentral describes it as "long non-coding RNA (CARA_LNC007862)". The stretch from base 4927 to 5033 matches the Rfam family "Plant small nucleolar RNA R71". The record is from RNAcentral. Lineage: Eukaryota; Viridiplantae; Streptophyta; Magnoliopsida; Gentianales; Rubiaceae.